GGUCUGGUGGUGUAGUUGGUUAUCACGUCAGUCUAACAGAUUCGAGGCCAACUCGAAGCUGAGCACACUGAAGGUCUCCGGUUCAAGUCCGGGCUAGAUCA
This 101-nucleotide transfer RNA is filed under the name Colletotrichum acutatum. RNAcentral describes it as "tRNA-Val". It matches the Rfam family "tRNA". Rfam says of the family: Transfer RNA (tRNA) molecules are approximately 80 nucleotides in length. Their secondary structure includes four short double-helical elements and three loops (D, anti-codon, and T loops). Further hydrogen bonds mediate the characteristic L-shaped molecular structure. tRNAs have two regions of fundamental functional importance: the anti-codon, which is responsible for specific mRNA codon recognition, and the 3' end, to which the tRNAs corresponding amino acid is attached (by aminoacyl-tRNA synthetases). tRNAs cope with the degeneracy of the genetic code in two manners: having more than one tRNA (with a specific anti-codon) for a particular amino acid; and 'wobble' base-pairing, i.e. permitting non-standard base-pairing at the 3rd anti-codon position. The record is from RNAcentral. Lineage: Eukaryota; Fungi; Ascomycota; Sordariomycetes; Glomerellales; Glomerellaceae.